RNAcentral lists this ribosomal RNA (413 nucleotides) under uncultured bacterium. RNAcentral describes it as "bacterial SSU rRNA". It matches the Rfam family "Bacterial small subunit ribosomal RNA", at positions 505 to 916 of the family's 1533-position model. The record is from RNAcentral.
GUGUCAGCCGCCGCGGUAAUACGUAGGGUGCGAGCGUUAAUCGGAAUUACUGGGCGUAAAGCGUGCGCAGGCGGUUUUUUAAGAUAGGCGUGAAAUCCCCGGGCUUAACCUGGGAACUGCGCUUAUGACUGGAAGACUAGAGUACGGCAGAGGGGGGUGGAAUUCCACGUGUAGCAGUGAAAUGCGUAGAGAUGUGGAGGAACACCGAUGGCGAAGGCAGCCCCCUGGGCCGAUACUGACGCUCAUGCACGAAAGCGUGGGGAGCAAACAGGAUUAGAUACCCUGGUAGUCCACGCCCUAAACGAUGUCAACUAGGUGUUGGGUGGGUAAAACCAUUUAGUACCGUAGCUAACGCGUGAAGUUGACCGCCUGGGGAGUACGGCCGCAAGGUUAAAACUCAAAGGAAUUGGCGG